GCACAAGCGGUGAUGAUGUGGUUAAUUCGAUGCAACGCGAAAACCUUACCCACCUUUGACAUGUACGGAAUCCUUUAGAGAUAGAGGAGUGCUCGAAAGAGAGCCGUAACACAGGUGCUGCAUGGCUGUCGUCAGCUCGUGUCGUGAGAUGUUGGGUUAAGUCCCGCAACGAGCGCAACCCUUGUCAUUAGUUGCUACGAAAGGGCACUCUAAUGAGACUGCCGGUGACAAACCGGAGGAAGGUGGGGAUGACGUCAAGUCCUCAUGGCCCUUAUAGGUGGGGCUACACACGUCAUACAAUGGCUGGUACAAAGGGUUGCCAACCCGCGAGGGGGAGCUAAUCCCAUAAAGCCAGUCGUAGUCCGGAUCGCAGUCUGCAACUCGACUGCGUGAAGUCGGAAUCGCUAGUAAUCGUGGAUCAGAAUGUCACGGUGAAUACGUUCCCGGGUCUU
Molecule: ribosomal RNA, 452 nt
Filed under: uncultured Comamonas sp.
Lineage: Bacteria; Pseudomonadati; Pseudomonadota; Betaproteobacteria; Burkholderiales; Comamonadaceae
Description: bacterial SSU rRNA
Rfam family: Bacterial small subunit ribosomal RNA
Source: RNAcentral